UACAGAGGGGGCAAGCGUUGUUCGGAAUUACUGGGCGUAAAGGGCGCGUAGGCGGCCUUCUAAGUCGAACGUGAAAUCCCCGGGCUCAACCCGGGAACUGCGUCCGAUACUGGAAGGCUUGAAUCCGUGAGAGGGAUGCGGAAUUCCAGGUGUAGCGGUGAAAUGCGUAGAUAUCUGGAGGAACACCGGUGGCGAAGGCGGCAUCCUGGACCGGCAUUGACGCUGAGGCGCGAAAGCCAGGGGAGCAAACGGG
RNAcentral lists this ribosomal RNA (253 nucleotides) under uncultured bacterium. RNAcentral describes it as "partial 16S ribosomal RNA". It matches the Rfam family "Bacterial small subunit ribosomal RNA", at positions 524 to 776 of the family's 1533-position model. The record is from RNAcentral.